This 732-nucleotide ribosomal RNA is filed under the name uncultured Leptotrichia sp. Its description in RNAcentral is "bacterial SSU rRNA". It matches the Rfam family "Bacterial small subunit ribosomal RNA", at positions 28 to 776 of the family's 1533-position model. Lineage: Bacteria; Fusobacteriati; Fusobacteriota; Fusobacteriia; Fusobacteriales; Leptotrichiaceae. The record is from RNAcentral.
GAUGAACGCUGACAGAAUGCUUAACACAUGCAAGUCUUUGGCGAAGCUGUGCUUGCACAGCCUAGCCAAGGCGGACGGGUGAGUAACGCGUAAGGAACUUACCCUGCAGUCAGGGAUAACAGACGGAAACGACUGAUAAGACCUGGUAAAGUCAGGCGGACUCAUGUCCAGCCUGAUGAAAAGAGAUGCUGCAGGAGAGCCUUGCGUCCUAUUAGCUUGUUGGUGGGGUAACGGCCCACCAAGGCGAUGAUAGGUAGCCGGCCUGAGAGGGUGGACGGCCACAAGGGGACUGAGAUACGGCCCUUACUCCUACGGGAGGCAGCAGUGGGGAAUAUUGGACAAUGGGGGCAACCCUGAUCUAGCAAUUCUGUGUGCACGAUGAAGGUUUUCGGAUUGUAAAGUGCUUUCAGCAGGGAAGAAAAAAAUGACGGUACCUGCAGAAGAAGCGACGGCUAAAUACGUGCCAGCAGCCGCGGUAAUACGUAUGUCGCAAGCGUUAUCCGGAAUUAUUGGGCAUAAAGGGCAUCUAGGCGGCCAGAUAAGUCUGGGGUGAAAACUUGCGGCUCAACCGCAAGCCUGCCCUGGAAACUAUGUGGCUAGAGUACUGGAGAGGUGGACGGAACUGCACGAGUAGAGGUGAAAUUCGUAGAUAUGUGCAGGAAUGCCGAUGAUGAAGAUAGUUCACUGGACGGUAACUGACGCUGAAGUGCGAAAGCUAGGGGAGCAAACAGG